UGAUUUUAAUUCUAGGUUCAAUUAUAAUUCUUUUUUUAUGAAUGGAGAACAAAAUAAAUUAUGUUAAACCAAUAUAAAAAUUUUUUAACAAAUAAAAUUUGUAAAAGGAAAGGAAAUAAACUGUUAAAUUAAAGUGCCAGCAAUCGCGGUUAAACUUAAAGAAAAUAUAAUAAAUCGGAAAAUGUAGUUAUAAGAAAGUAUAGAAAACUAAAAAUAAAUAUAUAAUAGGUGCAAUUAAAACUCUUAAAAAAAAUUCAAAAAAUUUUAGAACCUACAAAAACUUUUAGAAAAGAAAAGGAUUUGAUACCCUUGUAUGAAAGUAUAAAAAUUUAUCCAGGGUAAUAAUAAUAAAGAUUAUAAACUCAAAGAAUAUGGCAGCAUAAAUAAAAUUUAGGGAUACUUGAUACUUUAAAUUAUGAUAAUCCACAAUAUACCUUACUUUCUAAAGUAGUAAGCCACUAUAUCUCCGUUUAAGAAAAUAAUAAAAGUUAUAAAUUGUUAACCAAAAUUUUUUAAAUUAUUUAAAUAAAAGUAAUUCAGGUCGAGACAGGGUUUAGAAAGAACUAUUGAGUAUCAUUUUUAUAAAAGAAUAACAAAAAAUUUAAAAUUUUGGAAUUAGAGAACUUAAAAGUAAAUUUUUUUAAAAAAAAAAAUUGAAUAAUUAUAUUUAUGUGUACAAAUCGCCCGACACUCUUGAUCAAAAUUAAGAUAAGUCGAAACAAAGUAAGUGUAUUGGAAGAUGUACUUAGAUUAUA
RNAcentral lists this non-coding RNA (755 nucleotides) under Taeniothrips tigris. Lineage: Eukaryota; Metazoa; Arthropoda; Insecta; Thysanoptera; Thripidae. The record is from RNAcentral.